RNAcentral lists this ribosomal RNA (440 nucleotides) under Dothideomycetes sp. genotype 382. RNAcentral describes it as "eukaryotic LSU rRNA". The stretch from base 192 to 440 matches the Rfam family "Eukaryotic large subunit ribosomal RNA", at positions 1 to 253 of the family's 3401-position model. Lineage: Eukaryota; Fungi; Ascomycota; Dothideomycetes. The record is from RNAcentral.
CACACCUGUUCGAGCGUCAUUACACCCCUCAAGCCUGGCUUGGUAUUGGGCGCCCCGGGCGAGAGCCCGCGCCUCAAAUUCAUUGAUCGGCCGGAUCUGCCGGACCCCGAGCGUUGCGGAAACGAAUUCGCUUAGGGGAGCCGUGCGUCCGCGCCGCCGACCGCCGCCUCCGGGCGGCAAUUUCAUUAGGUUGACCUCGGAUCAGGUGGGGAUACCCGCUGAACUUAAGCAUAUCAAUAAGCGGAGGAAAAGAAACCAACAGGGAUUGCCCUAGUAACGGCGAGUGAAGCGGCAACAGCUCAAAUUUGAAAUCUGGCGCAAGCCCGAGUUGUAAUUUGUAGAGGAUGCUUCGGGGCCGCGGCCGGUCUAAGUUCCUUGGAACAGGACGUCGUAGAGGGUGAGAGUCCCGUAUGCGACCGGUGGGCACCCCGCACGUAGCU